ACGGGAGGCAGCAGUGGGGAAUAUUGCACAAUGGGGGAAACCCUGAUGCAGCGACGCCGCGUGAGUGAAGAAGUUAUUCGUAAUGUAAAGCUCUAUCAGCAGGGAAGAAAAUGACGGUACCUGACUAAGAAGCCCCGGCUAACUACGUGCCAGCAGCCGCGGUAAUACGUAGGGGGCAAGCGUUAUCCGGAUUUACUGGGUGUAAAGGGAGCGCAGACGGCUUUGCAAGUCUGAUGUGAAAGGCAGGGGCUCAACUCCUGGACUGCAUUGGAAACUGUAGGGCUAGAGUGUCGGAGAGGUAAGCGGAAUUCCUAGUGUAGCGGUGAAAUGCGUAGAUAUUAGGAGGAACACCAGUGGCGAAGGCGGCUUACUGGACUGACACUGACGCUGAGGCACGAAAGCGUGGGGAGCAAACAGGAUUAGAUACCCUGGUA
RNAcentral lists this ribosomal RNA (434 nucleotides) under uncultured Lachnospiraceae bacterium. RNAcentral describes it as "bacterial SSU rRNA". It matches the Rfam family "Bacterial small subunit ribosomal RNA", at positions 341 to 792 of the family's 1533-position model. The record is from RNAcentral. Lineage: Bacteria; Bacillati; Bacillota; Clostridia; Lachnospirales; Lachnospiraceae.